CCUACGGGAGGCUGCAGUGGGGAAUAUUGCACAAUGGGCGCAAGCCUGAUGCAGCCAUGCCGCGUGUGUGAAGAAGGCCUUCGGGUUGUAAAGCACUUUCAGCGGGGAGGAAGGCGGUGAGGUUAAUAACCUCAUCGAUUGACGUUACCCGCAGAAGAAGCACCGGCUAACUCCGUACCAGCAGCCGCGGUAAUACGGAGGGUGCAAGCGUUAAUCGGAAUUACUGGGCGUAAAGCGCACGCAGGCGGUCUGUCAAGUCGGAUGUGAAAUCCCCGGGCUCAACCUGGGAACUGCAUUCGAAACUGGCAGGCUAGAGUCGUGUAGAGGGGGGUAGAAUUCCAGGUGUAGCGGUGAAAUGCGUAGAGAUCUGGAGGAAUACCGGUGGCGAAGGCGGCCCCCUGGACAAAGACUGACGCUCAGGUGCGAAAGCGUGGGGAGCAAACAGGAUUAGAUACCCGUGUAGUC
This 465-nucleotide ribosomal RNA is filed under the name uncultured Klebsiella sp. Its description in RNAcentral is "bacterial SSU rRNA". It matches the Rfam family "Bacterial small subunit ribosomal RNA", at positions 338 to 795 of the family's 1533-position model. Lineage: Bacteria; Pseudomonadati; Pseudomonadota; Gammaproteobacteria; Enterobacterales; Enterobacteriaceae. The record is from RNAcentral.